GAUGAACGCUGGCGGCGUGCCUAAUACAUGCAAGUCGAGCGAACGGACGAGACGCUUGCUUCUCUGAUGUUAGCGGCGGACGGGUGAGUAACACGUGGAUACCCUACCUAUCAGACUGGGAUAACUUCGGGACACCGGAGCUAAUACCGGAUAAUAUUUUGAACCGCAUGGUUCAAAAGUGAAAGACGGUCUUGCUGUCACUUAUAGCUGGUUCCGCGCUGCAUUAGCUAGUUGGUAAGGUAACGGCUUACCAAGGCAACGAUGCAUAGCCGACCUGAGAGGGUGAUCGGCCACACUGGAACUGAGACACGGUCCAGACGCCUACGGGAGGCAGCAGUAGGGAAUCUGCCGCAAUGGGCGAAAGCCUGACGGAGCAACGCCGCGUGAGUGAUGAAGGUCUUCGGAUCGGAAAACUCUGUUAUGAGGGAAGAACAUAUGUGUAAGUAACUGUGCACAUCGUGACGGUACCUAAUCAGAAAGCAACGGCUAACUACGUG
This 497-nucleotide ribosomal RNA is filed under the name uncultured bacterium. Its description in RNAcentral is "partial 16S ribosomal RNA". It matches the Rfam family "Bacterial small subunit ribosomal RNA", at positions 28 to 507 of the family's 1533-position model. The record is from RNAcentral.